UACGUAGGGAGCGAGCGUUGUUCGGAUUUACUGGGCGUAAAGAGCACGUAGGCGGGUAUGCAAGUCGGUUGUGAAAUCCUCUGGCUCAACCAGAGAACUGCAAUCGAAACUGCAUACCUUGAGUCCAACAGAGGGAAUCGGAAUCCAAGGUGUAGCGGUGAAAUGCGUAGAUAUCUUGGAGAACAUCAGUGGCGAAGGCGGAUUCCUGGGUUGGCACUGACGCUGAGGUGCGAAAGCUAAGGUAGCGAAC
Molecule: ribosomal RNA, 250 nt
Filed under: uncultured bacterium
Lineage: Bacteria
Description: partial 16S ribosomal RNA
Rfam family: Bacterial small subunit ribosomal RNA
Source: RNAcentral